CAGCAGCCGCGGAAAUACGUAGGGUGCGAGCGUUAAUCGGAAUUACUGGGCGUAAAGCGUGCGCAGGCGGUUCGUUAAGACAGAUGUGAAAUCCCCGGGCUUAACCUGGGAACUGCAUUUGUGACUGACGGGCUAGAGUAUGGCAGAGGGGGGUAGAAUUCCACGUGUAGCAGUGAAAUGCGUAGAGAUGUGGAGGAAUACCGAUGGCGAAGGCAGCCCCCUGGGCCAAUACUGACGCUCAUGCACGAAAGCGUGGGGAGCAAACAGGAUUAGAUACCCCAGUAGUCCCUGUCUCUUAUAC
This 301-nucleotide ribosomal RNA is filed under the name uncultured bacterium. RNAcentral describes it as "partial 16S ribosomal RNA". It matches the Rfam family "Bacterial small subunit ribosomal RNA", at positions 509 to 807 of the family's 1533-position model. The record is from RNAcentral.